GAUGUGAUGGCCGAGUGGUAAAAGUGUUGGACUUCUAAAUCCAACGGAGUAUCCCUGUGCAGGUUCUAACCCUGCUCACAAUG
RNAcentral lists this transfer RNA (83 nucleotides) under Larimichthys crocea (large yellow croaker). It matches the Rfam family "tRNA". From Rfam's summary of the family: Transfer RNA (tRNA) molecules are approximately 80 nucleotides in length. Their secondary structure includes four short double-helical elements and three loops (D, anti-codon, and T loops). Further hydrogen bonds mediate the characteristic L-shaped molecular structure. tRNAs have two regions of fundamental functional importance: the anti-codon, which is responsible for specific mRNA codon recognition, and the 3' end, to which the tRNAs corresponding amino acid is attached (by aminoacyl-tRNA synthetases). tRNAs cope with the degeneracy of the genetic code in two manners: having more than one tRNA (with a specific anti-codon) for a particular amino acid; and 'wobble' base-pairing, i.e. permitting non-standard base-pairing at the 3rd anti-codon position. The record is from Rfam by way of RNAcentral. Lineage: Eukaryota; Metazoa; Chordata; Actinopteri; Sciaenidae.